GAGUUUGAUCCUGGCUCAGGAUGAACGCUGGCGGCGUGCUUAACACAUGCAAGUCGAACGAAGCACUCUUUUAGAUUUCCUUCGGGGAAGAAGAAAUUGUGACUGAGUGGCGGACGGGUGAGUAACGCGUGGGCAACCUGCCCCAUACAGGGGGAUAACAGCCGGAAACGGCUGCUAAAACCGCAUAAGCGCACAAGGGCCGCAUGGCCUGGUGUGAAAAACUCCGGUGGUAUGGGAUGGGCCCGCGUCUGAUUAGCUAGUUGGCGGGGGAGAGGCCCACCAAGGCGACGAUCAGUAGCCGACCUGAGAGGGUGGCCGGCCACAUUGGGACUGAGACACGGCCCAAACUCCUACGGGAGGCAGCAGUGGGGAAUAUUGCACAAUGGGGGAAACCCUGAUGCAGCGACGCCGCGUGAGCGAAGAAGUAUUUCGGUAUGUAAAGCUCUAUCAGCAGGGAAGAAAAAUGACGGUACCUGAGUAAGAAGCACCGGCUAAAUACGUGCCAGCAGCCGCGGUAAUACGUAUGGUGCAAGCGUUAUCCGGAUUUACUGGGUGUAAAGGGAGCGCAGGCGGUGCGGCAAGUCUGAUGUGAAAGCCCGGGGCUCAACCCCGGGACUGCAUUGGAAACUACCGAACUAGAGUGUC
This 645-nucleotide ribosomal RNA is filed under the name uncultured bacterium. RNAcentral describes it as "bacterial SSU rRNA". It matches the Rfam family "Bacterial small subunit ribosomal RNA", at positions 9 to 650 of the family's 1533-position model. The record is from RNAcentral.